RNAcentral lists this ribosomal RNA (1255 nucleotides) under Clostridioides difficile. RNAcentral describes it as "partial 23S ribosomal RNA". It matches the Rfam family "Bacterial large subunit ribosomal RNA", at positions 1440 to 2703 of the family's 2925-position model. The record is from RNAcentral. Lineage: Bacteria; Bacillati; Bacillota; Clostridia; Peptostreptococcales; Peptostreptococcaceae.
UGUACUACCGAUAACCGUUUGAGAGAAGGGAUGACACAGUAGGAUAAGCUAAGCACACUGUUGGUUAUGUGUGCCCAAGCAUUGAGGCAGUCAAAGUAGGCAAAUCCGCUUUGAUAAUGCUGGGAUGUGAUGGGGAGCGAAAUUUAGUAGCGAAGUAGCUGAUUUCACACUGUCAAGAAAAGUCUCUAUCGAGGUUAAAGGUACCCGUACCGCAAACCGACACAGGUGGGUGAGGAGAGUAUCCUAAGGCCAGCGAGAGAACUGUUGUUAAGGAACUCGGCAAAAUGACCCCGUAACUUAGGGAUAAGGGGUGCCACCAUCAGGUGGCCGCAGAGAAUAGGCCCAAGCGACUGUUUACCAAAAACAUAGGUUUCUGCUAAGUCGCAAGACGAUGUAUAGGAGCUGACGCCUGCCCGGUGCUGGAAGGUUAAGGGGAUCUGUUAGAGCAAUCGAAGCAGUGAACUUAAGCCCCAGUAAACGGCGGCCGUAACUAUAACGGUCCUAAGGUAGCGAAAUUCCUUGUCGGGUAAGUUCCGACCCGCACGAAAGGCGUAACGAUUUGGGCACUGUCUCAACAACAGACUCGGUGAAAUUGUAAUUCCGGUGAAGAUGCCGGAUACCUGCGACAGGACGGAAAGACCCCAUGGAGCUUUACUGUAGCUUGACAUUGGGUCUUGGUACUACAUGUACAGGAUAGGUGGGAGGCUUUGAAACCAGGACGCCAGUUUUGGCGGAGCCAUCCUUGGGAUACCACCCUUGUAGUACUGGGACUCUAACCAUAGGCCAUGAAUCUGGUCUUGGGACACUGUCAGGUGGGCAGUUUGACUGGGGCGGUCGCCUCCCAAAAGGUAACGGAGGCGCUCAAAGGUUCUCUCAGUACGGUCGGAAAUCGUACGUAGAGUGUAAAGGCAAAAGAGAGCUUGAUUGCAAGACAUACAGGUCGAGCAAGGAUGAAAAUCGGACUUAGUGAUCCGGUGGUUCUGCGUGGAAGGGCCAUCGCUCAACGGAUAAAAGCUACCCUGGGGAUAACAGGCUUAUCUCCCCCAAGAGUCCACAUCGACGGGGAGGUUUGGCACCUCGAUGUCGGCUCAUCACAUCCUGGGGCUGUAGUAGGUCCCAAGGGUUGGGCUGUUCGCCCAUUAAAGUGGUACGCGAGCUGGGUUCAGAACGUCGUGAGACAGUUCGGUCCCUAUCCGUCGCAGGCGUAGGAAAUUUGAGAAGACCUGUCCUUAGUACGAGAGGACCGGGAUGGACG